GAUCAUGGCUCAGGACGAACGCUGGCGGCGCGCCUAACACAUGCGAGUCGAACGAGCGAGAGAGAGCUUGCUUUCUCGAGCGAGUGGCGAACGGGUGAGUAACGCGUGAGGAACCUGCCUCAAAGAGGGGGACAACAGUUGGAAACGACUGCUAAUACCGCAUAAGCCCACAGCUCGGCAUCGAGCAGAGGGAAAAGGAGCAAUCCGCUUUGAGAUGGCCUCGCGUCCGA
RNAcentral lists this ribosomal RNA (230 nucleotides) under uncultured bacterium. RNAcentral describes it as "partial 16S ribosomal RNA". It matches the Rfam family "Bacterial small subunit ribosomal RNA", at positions 15 to 240 of the family's 1533-position model. The record is from RNAcentral.